GCCAGUGUGGUGUAAUGGUUUGAGUGUUAGAUCAUCACUCUGGACACCAGGGUUCAAAUCCCUGCUCAGCCA
RNAcentral lists this transfer RNA (72 nucleotides) under Phrynosoma platyrhinos (Desert horned lizard). RNAcentral describes it as "tRNA-OTHER". Lineage: Eukaryota; Metazoa; Chordata; Lepidosauria; Squamata; Phrynosomatidae. The record is from RNAcentral.